Molecule: long non-coding RNA, 1438 nt
Organism: Aedes albopictus (Asian tiger mosquito)
Lineage: Eukaryota; Metazoa; Arthropoda; Insecta; Diptera; Culicidae
Exons: 2
Source: RefSeq, a predicted model, not a curated record
UUGCACAAUGGUCCGAGGACCAACAUUAAGUGGAAAAAAUUAAUAACUCAAAAACCAUCCAAGAUAGAGUCUUCAUGUCUUUUAGACAUUUGCUCGUGAGUCCAAGCCGCGUUAUAUGCAAAAGUGUCCUAAACGCCAAAUCUUAAAAUACUUCAUAUUUCAGCACCUUACUUUUUUAUUUCAAAAGAUAUCGAAAUAAAAUGUUCUGCAAAGUUGAAGAAGGUAAAAACCCCGACAACUUUCUCGAAGAGCAGUUUUUUCUAUCUCUUCAAUCUGAGGAGAUAUAACUUAUUGAAGAAAUAAAAAGUCCGAAAUCGGUUUUUUUGUCAUAUGUCAAAAACUAUCAUUUUUUCAAGCCUACUAUGUUCAGAGCAAUUGUACAUAUUGCCAAAAUACACAUUUCGUCAGAAGACAUCAAAGCUGUACGAUGUUUCUAUCAAAAGAUAUAAGUAUUUUUGUACUUUUUUAAGCCAAUUUUUCUAGCGUAACAUUUGAAAAAGGCGCAAGUGAAUCUUUAAUUUUCUCCCACCACCGGAUCUAGUAUGACAAAAACUGCAUUUUAACAAAUUUUGGAGAGGGUGUUUUUUUGUUUUGCGUUUUAAAUGUGAUUUGACUAUGACCGUAUUUUAGGCAUCAAAUUCACGAAAAAUGACAUCCAUAAUGUCCGAGUUCAACAUCUACUCGUGUUUCAAGAUCACUUAUCUUAAACAUUCGAGUAGCGAUGAACCCAAUGUUGUCUUUUUUGUUUUGUUUUGUUCCUUUGUGUAAGUGAGCAAAAAUAUAAAACAAAUUCCCUAUAGUUUUUCGAUUUCUUAAUUCAUCAGAUAUAUGCAUCUGGUGAUCGAAUGGGUGACAAAACGUCGAAAGACAAAACGUCGAAUGCCAAAACGUCGAAAGGACAAAACGUCGAAGGGACAAAACGUCGAAAGGACAAAACGUCGAAAAGUGUGUAACUGUUCUCAGUUCAGUGUAGAUUUUUUUUUUGAGAUUUGUGUGGAUCGAUUUAAUCCUGCUGAUAGCCUGAGAGGGGUGGCAAUACGGUAGAUCCAUCAAGAUAGCAGGAUGACGAACUAAUUAACGGGGACACACUCAUUAUGUUUCAUUAAAUCGGGUUACUGCCCAAGCGCUGAAGGUCAAUGAUUCAUUUUGCACUCUAUGAUGCUUCAGACCCGAGUUGAAACCACCAGCUGUGUAAAGAUUAUUGUGUGAAUACUUGGCAUUGUUGUGCUAGUACCAUAUUCUGGAAUACCGGAUGAAUUGCGGAGAAGGACAGCCGUAACCAAACCAGACGCCCUUGAAGGAGUAAUGCGCCCGAUGAUCCCCAUCGCCACCCUAAAGCCACCCUGAAGGAUGUUAUGGCGUAAUGCUGAAAAUUUGUGGAAGGUGCCACUAGCAUUGUGCCACUCGCAGUGUUACAUUUGAACGCGAUCAAUUUGCG